GUGCUCACUUUGUUAGCACAUAGACUAAAAUUGGAAUGAUACAGAGAAUAUUAGCAUGGCCCCUGUUGAAGGAUGACACGCAAUGACAUGAAAUUCCCUGGAAACAC
Molecule: small nuclear RNA, 107 nt
Organism: Suncus etruscus (white-toothed pygmy shrew)
Lineage: Eukaryota; Metazoa; Chordata; Mammalia; Eulipotyphla; Soricidae
Source: RefSeq, a predicted model, not a curated record